This 1044-nucleotide long non-coding RNA is filed under the name Equus caballus (horse). RNAcentral describes it as "lncRNA (ENSECAG00000050837.1)". Lineage: Eukaryota; Metazoa; Chordata; Mammalia; Perissodactyla; Equidae. The record is from RNAcentral.
GCUUAUCUCAUCUCCCAGCUCGUGUCACACGAAAUAAAAACCCUUUCCUGGCCAUAAGCCUGUCAUUCCAGUUUUUAUUUGGCCCCUCUUGUGUGGUGGGUAAAGAACCUAUGUCUGUAGGUGGUAACAACUUGGGGAGUCAGCCAGGAAGCUCUUGCCCGUGGCUCCGCGGCCCUGGGCUGACUGGGAUUUCCUGGGAAGCAGUCCAGCAGCCGCCUAGGUGAUUUGCCCUAGGGACUGCCCCAGUACUUGCCAUCUGGCCUGGCACUGCUGACCCUAGGCAUAUUUUCUUAUGGCAAGGAAACAGGUUCUAGAUUUGUUUGUUUGUUUGUUCUUUGUUCUGGUGAGCCGACGGACUCUGAAAUACAAAACACUUCUUAUUAAAUACCUGGUUACUUACCUACGUGAUACAGGCCUAACUUUGGAAGCCCACCUGCAUCACUGCCUUACUAAAAGACUCGUUCAACAAGAUGGAACAACCUACACCCUGAUUCAGUAGGAAGUAGUUAGAUAGGUCAUCAUCCCAAAUCCCUCAAGACUGAGAAAUGAACAUAAAAUAGGGGGUAAUUGAUACUGGCCCUGAUAUCAGUUCCCCUUCAUUAAACCCAGCAUAGACGGAGUUAAAACCAAAACAUUCUUGCCCAGCUUACUCCCUGGCUCCCUGGCUCCAGAAUCCACUAUCAGCCAUAGAGACAGAUGGCCAAGAACAGCCACCUGGAUUCCUAAUCAUCUUCUCCUCCUCCCUGCAAGCAGCAUCCCAAGGCUGAACACAGACUGGUGGGAAAGCUCUGACCAGCAAGGCCAUUGACUCCCCCACCUCUCCACAUUCUUCACAAACCUUUAAAACCCCUCACCUCCUCUCUUUCCGGGAAAUGAGAGGAAACAAGACAAAUUUGAGGGCUCACUCUCAUCUCCUGGCUGAUGUCACUCUAAAUAAAAACACUUUCCUUGCCAUAAGCCUGAUCUUCCAGCUUUUAUUUGGCCCCUCUUGUGUGGUGGGUAAAGAACCUAUGUUUGUAGGCGGUAACAAUCCCUACAUUUCAU